UUUUAUUUCAUUAUUUCUUCUGUGGAAAAAGAAUAAGAAAGGCAAGGUCAAGCUAGUUUUUAAUAGAGACAUGUACAGAGAACAACCGCAAUUUUAAAAUAAAUGUGUGUAUCUAUCAAGAUAUUUCUUAUUAACCUUGGAACUAUAGGAAUUUUUGGCUGUAGGGCUUUUAGGCAUCUCAAGACUUUAAUUCAUUUUAGCCAGAUGGGGUCUCUGGUACUCAGUGGGGACUUUAAUGCUCAGUAGAGUCUUUGGUACUCAGUGGGGUCUUCGGUACUCUGUGGGUGUCUGAUAGCCUAUGCGGUCUUUGGUAGCCUGUGGGGUCUUUGGGAGCCUAUGUGGUCUUUGAUAGCUUGUAGGGACUUUCGUAGCCUAUAGGGUCUUUGGUACUCAGAGGAGUCCUUUGUAGCCUAUGAGGUGUUUUGUAGACUAUGUGGUCUUUGGUACUCACUGGGGUCUUUGGUAGCCUAUGGGGUCUUUGGUAGCCUGUGGGGUCUUUGAUAGCCUAUGGGAAUUUCGGUAGCCAUUGGGGUCUUUAGUAGCCAAUGGGGUCUUUGGUAGCCUGUGGGGUCUUUAGUAUGCAGUGGGGUCUUUGGUACACAGUGGGGUCUAUGGUACUCAGUGGGAUCUUUGGUACUCAGUGGGGUCUUUGAUAGCCUAUGAGGUCUUUGGUAUUCAGUGGGGUCUUUGGUAGCCUAUGAGGUCUUUGGUACUCAGUGGGGUCUUUGGUAGCCUCUGAGGUCUUUGCUAGUCAAUGAGAUUCUUUGAUCGUCAGUGGGAGUUUGCCAUGCAGUGCGGUAAUUGCAGUGAAAAAACAUGUUGAAUGAUUCAAGAUAAGGCACCAGUUCCAGCAUGUUCACAUCAGCACCUUUUAA
This is a long non-coding RNA of Ictalurus punctatus (channel catfish), 875 nucleotides long. NCBI's taxonomy places the organism in Eukaryota, Metazoa, Chordata, Actinopteri, Siluriformes, Ictaluridae. The record is from Ensembl.